UGGGGAAUAUUGGACAAUGGGCGAAAGCCUGAUCCAGCCAUGCCGCGUGUGUGAAGAAGGUCUUCGGAUUGUAAAGCACUUUAAGUUGGGAGGAAGGGCAUUAACCUAAUACGUUAGUGUCUUGACGUUACCGACAGAAUAAGCACCGGCUAACUCUGUGCCAGCAGCCGCGGUAAUACAGAGGGUGCAAGCGCUAAUCGGAAUUACUGGGCGUAAAGCGCGCGUAGGUGGUUUGUUAAGUUGAAUGUGAAAUCCCCGGGCUCAACCUGGGAACUGCAUCCAAAACUGGCAAGCUAGAGUAUGGUAGAGGGUAGUGGAAUUUCCUGUGUAGCGGUGAAAUGCGUAGAUAUAGGAAGGAACACCAGUGGCGAAGGCGACUACCUGGACUGAUACUGACACUGAGGUGCGAAAGCGUGGGGAGCAAACA
This 427-nucleotide ribosomal RNA is filed under the name uncultured bacterium. Its description in RNAcentral is "partial 16S ribosomal RNA". It matches the Rfam family "Bacterial small subunit ribosomal RNA", at positions 355 to 774 of the family's 1533-position model. The record is from RNAcentral.